This 253-nucleotide ribosomal RNA is filed under the name uncultured bacterium. RNAcentral describes it as "partial 16S ribosomal RNA". It matches the Rfam family "Bacterial small subunit ribosomal RNA", at positions 524 to 776 of the family's 1533-position model. The record is from RNAcentral.
UACGUAGGGGGCAAGCGUUAUCCGGAUUUACUGGGUGUAAAGGGAGCGUAGACGGCCAUUCGAGCCAGAUGUGAAAGCCCGGGGCUCAACCCCGGGACUGCAUUUGGAACUGUAUGGCUGGAGUGUCGGAGAGGCAGGCGGAAUUCCUAGUGUAGCGGUGAAAUGCGUAGAUAUUAGGAGGAACACCAGUGGCGAAGGCGGCCUGCUGGACGAUGACUGACGUUGAGGCUCGAAAGCGUGGGGAGCAAACAGG